RNAcentral lists this non-coding RNA (183 nucleotides) under Propionivibrio dicarboxylicus. RNAcentral's name for it is "6S / SsrS RNA". It matches the Rfam family "6S / SsrS RNA". From Rfam's summary of the family: E. coli 6S RNA was the first non coding RNA to be sequenced, but its function was unknown until recently. It consists of 184 nucleotides that fold into an extended hairpin structure with a large single-stranded internal bulge. Lineage: Bacteria; Pseudomonadati; Pseudomonadota; Betaproteobacteria; Rhodocyclales; Rhodocyclaceae. The record is from Rfam by way of RNAcentral.
UGUUCCCUGCGGUGUUUGUCAAGGCCAUAGAUUCCUUGAACCAAUGCUAAAUUGGCAUCGGUUGCUGACCUGAGAAACCGCUGUUGUGUGCGCCCCUUGUCGGGUGGACCUGAUGCGGAAGGAAGGCGACCUACUCUGGACCCCGGUUCAGGAUGCCGGCCUAACGGCACUUGCGGGGGCUUU